RNAcentral lists this ribosomal RNA (401 nucleotides) under Staphylococcus aureus. RNAcentral's name for it is "bacterial LSU rRNA". It matches the Rfam family "Bacterial large subunit ribosomal RNA", at positions 2524 to 2925 of the family's 2925-position model. Lineage: Bacteria; Bacillati; Bacillota; Bacilli; Caryophanales; Staphylococcaceae. The record is from RNAcentral.
CCUCGAUGUCGGCUCAUCGCAUCCUGGGGCUGGAGUCGGUCCCAAGGGUUGGGCUGUUCGCCCAUUAAAGCGGUACGCGAGCUGGGUUCAGAACGUCGUGAGWCAGUUCGGUCCCUAUCCGUCGUGGGCGUAGGAAAUUUGAGAGGAGCUGUCCUUAGUACGAGAGGACCGGGAUGGACAUACCUCUGGUGUACCAGUUGUCGUGCCAACGGCAUAGCUGGGUAGCUAUGUGUGGACGGGAUAAGUGCUGAAAGCAUCUAAGCAUGAAGCCCCCCUCAAGAUGAGAUUUCCCAACUUCGGUUAUAAGAUCCCUCAAAGAUGAUGAGGUUAAUAGGUUCGAGGUGGAAGCAUGGUGACAUGUGGAGCUGACGAAUACUAAUCGAUCGAAGACUUAAUCAAAA